This 434-nucleotide ribosomal RNA is filed under the name uncultured bacterium. Its description in RNAcentral is "partial 16S ribosomal RNA". It matches the Rfam family "Bacterial small subunit ribosomal RNA", at positions 29 to 507 of the family's 1533-position model. The record is from RNAcentral.
AGCGAACGCUGGCGGCAGGCCUAACACAUGCAAGUCGAACGAACCUUUCGGGGUUAGUGGCGGACGGGUGAGUAACACGUGGGAACGUGCCUUUAGGUUCGGAAUAACUCAGGGAAACUUGCGCUAAUACCGAAUGUGCCCUUCGGGGGAAAGAUUUAUCGCCUUUAGAGCGGCCCGCGUCUGAUUAGCUAGUUGGUUGAGGUAAUGGCUCACCAAGGCGACGAUCAGUAGCUGGUCUGAGAGGAUGAUCAGCCACAUUGGGACUGAGACACGGCCCAAACUCCUACGGGAGGCAGCAGUGGGGAAUCUUGCGCAAUGGGCGAAAGCCUGACGCAGCCAUGCCGCGUGAAUGAUGAAGGUCUUAGGAUUGUAAAAUUCUUUCACCGGGGACGAUAAUGACGGUACCCGGAGAAGAAGCCCCGGCUAACUUCGUG